AUGAACCUCACUUGUGGGGGGAUUAGUGGCGAACGGGUGAGUAACACGUGAGUAACCUGCCCUUGACUCUGGGAUAAGCCUGGGAAACUGGGUCUAAUACCGGAUAUGACUCCUCAUCGCAUGGUGGGGGGUGGAAAGCUUUUUGUGGUUUUGGAUGGACUCGCGGCCUAUCAGCUUGUUGGUGAGGUAAUGGCUCACCAAGGCGACGACGGGUAGCCGGCCUGAGAGGGUGACCGGCCACACUGGGACUGAGACACGGCCCAGACUCCUACGGGAGGCAGCAGUGGGGAAUAUUGCACAAUGGGCGAAAGCCUGAUGCAGCGACGCCGCGUGAGGGAUGACGGCCUUCGGGUUGUAAACCUCUUUCAGUAGGGAAGAAGCGAAAGUGACGGUACCUGCAGAAGAAGCGCCGGCUAACUACGUGCCAGCAGCCGCGGUAAUACGUAGGGCGCAAGCGUUAUCCGGAAUUAUUGGGCGUAAAGAGCUCGUAGGCGGUUUGUCGCGUCUGCCGUGAAAGUCCGGGGCUCAACUCCGGAUCUGCGGUGGGUACGGGCAGACUAGAGUGAUGUAGGGGAGACUGGAAUUCCUGGUGUAGCGGUGAAAUGCGCAGAUAUCAGGAGGAACACCGAUGGCGAAGGCAGGUCUCUGGGCAUUAACUGA
This 660-nucleotide ribosomal RNA is filed under the name Arthrobacter sp. AU3_04. RNAcentral's name for it is "bacterial SSU rRNA". It matches the Rfam family "Bacterial small subunit ribosomal RNA", at positions 69 to 743 of the family's 1533-position model. The record is from RNAcentral. Lineage: Bacteria; Bacillati; Actinomycetota; Actinomycetes; Micrococcales; Micrococcaceae.